ACUCCUACGGGAGGCAGCAGUGGGGAAUAUUGCACAAUGGGGGAAACCCUGAUGCAGCCAUGCCGCGUGUGUGAAGAAGGCCUUCGGGUUGUAAAGCACUUUCAGUUAGGAGGAAAGGUUGAGUGUAGUUAACACCUGCCAUAUUUGACGUAUACCAUACGAAGAAGAAGCACCGGCUAACUCCGUGCCAGCAGCCGCGGUAAUACGGAGGGUGCGAGCGUUAAUCGGAAUUACUGGGCGUAAAGCGCAUGCAGGCGGCC
RNAcentral lists this ribosomal RNA (260 nucleotides) under uncultured bacterium. Its description in RNAcentral is "partial 16S ribosomal RNA". It matches the Rfam family "Bacterial small subunit ribosomal RNA", at positions 335 to 580 of the family's 1533-position model. The record is from RNAcentral.